ACGGUUAUACCACGUUGAAAACAACGCUUCUUGUCCGAUCACCGAAGUUAAGCAACUUCAGGUCCAGUCAGUAUUUGGGAGGGUGACCACCUGGGGAACACCUAGCGCUAUAGGUU
Cordylochernes scorpioides is the source of this 116-nucleotide non-coding RNA. The record is from the annotation of a GenBank genome assembly. Lineage: Eukaryota; Metazoa; Arthropoda; Arachnida; Pseudoscorpiones; Chernetidae.